UGGGGAAUAUUGCACAAUGGGCGCAAGCCUGAUGCAGCCAUGCCGCGUGUAUGAAGAAGGCCUUCGGGUUGUAAAGUACUUUCAGCGAGGAGGAAGGCGUCGUACUUAAUACGUGCGGCGAUUGACGUUACUCGCAGAAGAAGCACCGGCUAACUCCGUGCCAGCAGCCGCGGUAAUACGGAGGGUGCAAGCGUUAAUCGGAAUUAGCUAGGGCGUAAAGCGCAUCGCAGGCGGUUUGGUCAUGAUCCGGAUGUGAAAUCCCCGGGGCUCACCUGGGUAACAUGCAUUCGAAACGGGCAAGCUAGAGGUC
This 310-nucleotide ribosomal RNA is filed under the name uncultured Enterobacteriaceae bacterium. Its description in RNAcentral is "bacterial SSU rRNA". It matches the Rfam family "Bacterial small subunit ribosomal RNA", at positions 355 to 649 of the family's 1533-position model. Lineage: Bacteria; Pseudomonadati; Pseudomonadota; Gammaproteobacteria; Enterobacterales; Enterobacteriaceae. The record is from RNAcentral.